CGCCGCGUGAGUGAUGAAGGUUUUCGGAUCGUAAAACUCUGUCUUUAGGGACGAUAAUGACGGUACCUAAGGAGGAAGCCACGGCUAACUACGUGCCAGCAGCCGCGGUAAUACGUAGGUGGCAAGCGUUGUCCGGAUUUACUGGGCGUAAAGAGUAUGUAGGUGGGUGCUUAAGUCAGAUGUGAAAUUCCCGGGCUCAACCUGGGAGCUGCAUUUGAAACUGGGCAUCUAGAGUGCAGGAGAGGAAAGUGGAAUUCCUAGUGUAGCGGUGAAAUGCGUAGAGAUUAGGAAGAACACCAGUGGCGAAGGCGACUUUCUGGACUGUAACUGACACUGAGAUACGAAAGCGUGGGUAGCAAACAGGAUUAGAUACCCUGGUAGUCCACGCCGUAAACGAUGAAUACUAGGUGUCGGGGGGUACCACCCUCGGUGCCGCAGCAAACGCAUUAAGUAUUCCGCCUGGGGAGUACGGUCGCAAGAUUAAAACUCAAAGGAAUUGACGGGGACCCGCACAAGCAGCGGAGCAUGUGGUUUAAUUCGAAGCAACGCGAAGAACCUUACCUAGACUUGACAUCUCCUGAAUUACUCUUAAUCGAGGAAGUCCCUUCGGGGACAGGAAGACAGGUGGUGCAUGGUUGUCGUCAGCUCGUGUCGUGAGAUGUUGGGUUAAGUCCCGCAACGAGCGCAACCCUUAUUGUUAGUUGCUACUAUUAAGUUAAGCACUCUAACGAGACUGCCGCGGUUAACGUGGAGGAAGGUGGGGAUGACGUCAAAUCAUCAUGCCCCUUAUGUCUAGGGCUACACACGUGCUACAAUGGCUGGUACAACGAGCAGCAAACCCGCGAGGGGGAGCAAAACUUGAAAGCCAGUCCCAGUUCGGAUUGUAGGCUGAAACUCGCCUACAUGAAGUUGGAGUUGCUAGUAAUCGCGAAUCAGCAUGUCGCGGUGAAUACGUUCCCGGGUCUUGUACACACCGCCCGUCACACCAUGAGAGCCGGUAACACCCGAAGCCCGUGAGGUAACCGUAAGGAGCCAGCGGUCGAAGGUGGGAUUGGUGAUUGGGGUGAAGUCGUAACAAGGUAGCCGUAGGAGAACCUGCGGCUGGAUCACCUCCUUUCUA
Molecule: ribosomal RNA, 1120 nt
Filed under: Clostridium botulinum D/C
Lineage: Bacteria; Bacillati; Bacillota; Clostridia; Eubacteriales; Clostridiaceae
Description: bacterial SSU rRNA
Rfam family: Bacterial small subunit ribosomal RNA
Source: RNAcentral